GUUUCCUAAGUACCUUAACCCGAAAUGGAGCAGCCAGCGAAAGGAGAAACAGGCUCAGAACGCAGACGCCAGGUCUCAGUGCCUCUCAGUGCCCGAGUGCCUGCACUCUCCACCCCGCCACCUCCCAUCCUUCCAGGGUCCCUGGGAAUGAGCAGUCACAGGGCCCAGGAGGCCAGUUCACUCGGACCGGCUGUUCUUUAUUUCUGCAGAAAUAGGACCAUGUGCCUCAGGCUGGCAACCCCCUGGCUUCACUUCCCACUUCACAGGAAAGACAACACCACCAGCUGAUGCAAGCUUUCUGGGAAUACCUGGUUAAUAAAUGCUACCACCAGGAGAGUCGCAUGGUACACGCUGACGACAGUGAUAAACUCUGAGGAUGUUCUCGGAGCUGACCUCGGAGGGGAUUUGGGAGUCUCGUACUCUCUACACCAUGUAUUCAGCCUGUCUUAAAGUAUUUGACCCGGGCACCUGUGGACCUUUAUGCUAGACCACCGCAUCCCGUUCUGCAGAGGACAAUGCCGAGGCCAGCUGGGCAGGCACAGAGCGGCUGCAGGUACUCACUGCUGUCGUAGAUGGCGUCAGACACCACAGGCUCCAGGCGCCGCGUGAAGCUGCCGGUGCUGUCGGGCAGGAAGGCGGUGAACAUGAGCCGCA
Long non-coding RNA from Cavia porcellus (domestic guinea pig), 654 nucleotides. RefSeq lists it as uncharacterized. NCBI's taxonomy places the organism in Eukaryota, Metazoa, Chordata, Mammalia, Rodentia, Caviidae. The transcript is spliced from 3 exons. The record is from RefSeq and is a predicted model, not a curated record.